UACGUAGGUGGCGAGCGUUGUCCGGAUUUACUGGGCGUAAAGAGCGCGCAGGCGGUCGUACAAGUCGCGUGUGAAAGCCCCUGGCUCAACUGGGGAGGGUCACGCGAUACUGUUCGACUCGAAGGCAGGAGAGGGAAGUGGAAUUCCCGGUGUAGUGGUGAAAUGCGUAGAUAUCGGGAGGAACACCAGUGGCGAAGGCAGCCUUCUGGGCCAACACUGACGCUCAUGCACGAAAGCGUGGGGAGCAAACAGG
This 253-nucleotide ribosomal RNA is filed under the name uncultured bacterium. RNAcentral's name for it is "partial 16S ribosomal RNA". It matches the Rfam family "Bacterial small subunit ribosomal RNA", at positions 524 to 776 of the family's 1533-position model. The record is from RNAcentral.